GAAGAACGGACGAAGAAUGGUGAAGAACGACGGAAAAUAUUCACAAAAUUGCUCAUGGAAAUGUCUCGGAAGCGUUACGGAAGCACCUCGACUUGGAUUUUCUUCACGAAAACAUGUUUUUUCACCCAAAAUAGCUUAAAU
Molecule: unclassified non-coding RNA, 141 nt
Filed under: uncultured fungus
Lineage: Eukaryota; Fungi
Description: sequence contains ITS1
Source: RNAcentral